This 6114-nucleotide unclassified non-coding RNA is filed under the name Homalodisca vitripennis (glassy-winged sharpshooter). RNAcentral's name for it is "uncharacterized LOC124360360, transcript variant X1". The record is from RNAcentral. Lineage: Eukaryota; Metazoa; Arthropoda; Insecta; Hemiptera; Cicadellidae.
UGGUGAGAGUCAAUUAGUGUUGUGUGGUGUAGUCAGCAUGCAGCAUGGCCGUGUGGUGGUGCCUGCCCUCACCGUGUUACCUGGUUACUGUCGCAGGAGCUGCCCUCGUGCCCCGGACACCCCCCACGAUAGAAGAGCUUCUCUGGACCAUCCGAGACGCCUGGCCGCCCCCGCCUCCCCGCAGCCUCUCCCUUGACAGUGAGAAAAGAGACAGACCGAAAGCACCAACACUAGAGAUGGGAACAGGAAACAAACUCAAUGGGCAGUCAGCUCCUAAGAUGGGUCUUCCUUAUAGACGCUACUCAGUACCUGAAACCGUGAUGAGAAAGUACUCUCUGAGUCGAGCGCAGACUUCAGCGUCUGAUGUCGUAACAGUGCCCACACCAUCAGUGCCCAGCAUCGGCACCAGCCAAGACAGUGGGGGUACAAACACAAAGCGAAUGUCCCACAAGGCCUGCCAGACCACCCCACCUGAUAGCUUUGACUGUACCAAGACUAGUGUUGAUAACAUUCAACUUCCACACGGUCAGGAAGUAGCCAUCCCUACUGUCAAUAUUAUCCCUUCAGUUGAUUUCAGUACAAAAUUAGAAAAUGAAGAAGUAUUUUCAAAACAUAGUUCAAAUUCCAAUGAGUUUAGCCAAAGUGAGGAAAUUUCAGAUAGCCAUGGUUGUGUAAGCCAAGUGUACAGAAGUGAAAUCAGUCUACCUGGUGCAGUUGCAGAGACGUCAAUGUUCCUUACUGUUCCAGAACUUUUAUUAGAUCCUCAUGACUGUCCAAAAGUUAACAGCGAUGAAGAGGAUUUUAAUAGUGCCACUGUACAAUUUCAUGACACCAAAAAUAUUUGUGGGGUUGAGUCAGAUGAGAAAAGGUAUUUAGAUAUAAGUGAAAUUUUAAAUGAUGAGAACUUCAAAAAAAUGUUAUCGCAACAAACAAAAGAGCAAAGGAAAAGUUUUCUUCAAUCCAAAUCUAAAUCAGUCCCAGAAUCCUCAGAACCUCCACAAAGAAUAAAUCGAAGUGGAUCGGCGGGAGGAGAAACUCACACUGAUGUAAUGGUCAGUGCAGAAGAUCGAAAUAGUGACGACAUAUCUGUAGAAGGGACCCCAACGCCAGCCCUCACUUGUCACACAUUUGACUCCCAAAGAAACACAAGUGAGUGUUACAUAACUGACUGUGAUAUGUGCACAGCAGAGGGCAGAAAGUGUUGCAGUCUGGAUGAUUCCGGAUCACAAUCUUGUAGUUUCACCAGUCCCGAAAUGAUUACAACAAAUGAACUAAAAUCCUCGUCUGAUUACACUACCAGCUCGAUGACUCUUGAUCAAACUGUAAGCGACCGAACAAUAUCCACUCAAGACUCUACAGUCAGUUUGACAUCAAUAACACCAGAAAGUGGAGAAUCCAAAGGAAACAUCAACAUUUCACCUAUUUUAGUAAUAAACUCUGAGACAAUAAUAGUAGAUACAAUAUCUCCUAGAAACAAAACAAAAGAUAGAGAGAUAUUUCAUCCUUCUGAAUCAAGUCCAAGUGAUAGUUCCAAAUCUGAUUCCCAACCAGCUGAAUUACAUUUCUCUGAUUCAUUUCCAGCCAUAAUAAGCUGUGAAAGUGCUAUUGUAUCCAAAAUACAAGAUAAUAAUUUACUGAAAUGUGAAAAGUUAGACGGUAUUGAAAGAAAUAAUGAACUAUUGACCAUAACUGAAACUAAAAGUGUACUUGAAGAGCCUAUAUAUCCUGAGUUGAACAAUAAUGAAAUUGAUGUUAUAAAAGAAUCAAAUGAAGAAGAGGAACCACAGCCAACUGAAAAUUUAGAGCACUCAAGCACAAAAGAUAAUAAAGAAACUGAAACAAAAGGAGAGGUAGUAGGAAAUUAUUCUACAAAUUAUUUAUAUUUAACAGAAGAAGACUCUGGAACUAACUCAGAUCAAAUUGAAGCACAACGAGAGGUAAAAGGAAAUUAUGCAACAAAUUAUUUAUAUCUAACAGAGGAAGAAUCAGGAACUAAUCCUGAAGAAAUUGAAGCUCAUCGGGCAAUAAAAGGAAAUUAUACAACAAAUUAUUUAUAUCUAACAGAGGAUGAAUCAGGUGUUAACCCCGACUCUUUAGAAAUCAGCAGAAAGGAAUCUAAUGUAACAAAACAAUCCGAAGAUGACUUUGAAAUGGAUUCCCUUGCAAUAAAUGAGUCCACUGAAGAGGAUUCAAAUCUUCUUGAAAAUUUAGGAUUUUGUGAAGAUUUAUCAAAAAUUCAGUAUCCACCAAAUAUUAAUGCUGUCAUAGAUGCACCAAAAAAUGAGCCCAGUGAUACAAAUGUACAAGAAAAAUUUUAUGGCAAUACUACCUAUGAACUGCUUUUGAAAGACAAUGUUGACAAUAAAGCUAAUUUCAUGGGUAAUGUGAUGCCGGCAGUAGAAGAUAAAGGAACUCCACUUAAAUGUAAUAAUUUGUUUGACAAACCUUUCCAAGGUUCAAAAACAAAACUUUGUUCAGACACACCUGAUAUUUUGGAUGAAACAAAACCAGAAGACAAUGAUAUUCUUGAUGAAAAGGAUAAUAUCAGAUUAUUUUCUGACUCAGAAACUACAAUGGGAUCUGUAGCCGGAGGAACAUACUGGGAGCUGCCUGGAAAAGAACUUGUCAUACCUAGAUUUUCCGCUUUGCCUCGGACACUUUCCAUGAUUGUUAAUACAUCAUCUUUGGAUUGUUCCAGUGACAGUGAUCUUAGUUUGGCAGAUAGUCUGGAAGAUAAUAAAAGUGAUGACAAAUCAAAAGGACUAAAAUUGUAUAAUAAAUAUGAUAAUCGUUUGGUUAGAGGUGACAUCAUAGCAUUACUCCCUGAGGAAACUGGAUGUUCUAAAAAAUCAUCAAAAGAACCACAAGCUUAUUUUUUAUCCCUGACAGGAGAAGAAGGCAAAAUAGAAGUAAAACAAAUUCCAGAGGAAUUAAAACAAAAACUUUUAAAACGGAGUAAAGAGGCAAAAAGGCGAUCUGAGCAUUCACUAAAUAGCGCAAAAAAAUGUAAGGGUAAACACUGUUCUAAGAAAAGUAGGAAAUAUCAUAAUCAUCGCUGUACAUCUACUAUAGAAUUCUCACCGAAUAAUAGUUAUCAAAAUACAGAACAUUCUGAAUCAACAGAUAAAAUAUCUAAAUGUACUCAGUGGGAGGAUUUUGGUUCAAGCAAAGACUCAUCCGACACUUUGGUCCCAUCAGAUUUUUCAGAAAGAGAUAAGGAUACAGUGUAUGAUGGAGAAGAAUACAAAACAAAAGAAACAGCAACAUCUCCUUACAUGUGUGACCUAUUACAAAGCCACCAACAGAACACUCUUACUGAUUGGCUUGAAACUAUAAAUAAUAGAUCCACAGAUUUAGAAGAUAGUAAAGUUUCCAACGUGCAUAGAAAUCUCAAUAAAAAUUCUAAAUUAUGUGAUAAUCAGAAUACUACAAGUGGUAUGUCUGAGGCCUCCAAACAUGUAAGCAAAGGGAUUCAAUGUAAAAAUAUGCCUCACAUUGAUUCUGCACUUGAUGAAGAGAUAUCCCAAAUACUGACUGAAACGUUGAAAGGUGACAUGGAAAACCAAGAAAAAGAAGAGCAAUGUAAAUUUAAAUGUAUUGAGCAUCAAGUUCCUUGGUCCAAACAUAUUGAAACUCAAGUUUCUGAAACAGAUUUUUAUGGGAAAAAUAUCUGUGACAAUUAUUACGAGAGUAUGCAAGGUACAAAUAUGGACAUUGACAAUGAUUAUCCAAUAAAAUCUAAAUCGGUACAAACAGUUGAUGGAACAGUAAAACAAAUUGAUCUAGAAAAAGAGCACAAAAAUAACUGUUCACUAACAUACACUAUGCAACAUAAUGAGUCAAACAAAAUUAAACUGAACUUAAGUGGCUCCUUGAAUGACAAAUGUGAUGUAUUCGAUCUAAACAAUAAAUGUUUAAAUGACAUUGUCGAAAACACUGAACGAUGCAAAACCCCCAUUCUAGGUGAAAGGGCUUCAAGCAAAAAUGAAAAUAUGGAAAAGCAGCAAGAAAAAAUCUUUGUUAAUAAGCCUACUGCAAAGUUCAACUUGAAAACUACACCAACACGACGACCAGGCAACUUGAGUAGUAGAUUUAGACAAAAGUUUGAAGUAAUACCAGAAGAAAAAAGUGGUUCAAUGGAUUCUUCCAAUGAUGAAAGAAAAUCACCAUUACCAACAAGAAAUAGAAGAGCUUCUAUGCCCUCAGAAAUGAUAAUGGCAGAUAUAGGAGGGCACAAUGAAAACAAAAGUAGUGACAGCAGUACAAGUAGUAGUAUCGACAAACAAGAAAGUGAAGAGUGUGACCACAUCCGCAAUGUUCAGACAUCUCAAAAUGAAGGCAAUGACUACCACAGGCGACACACUAUACAUGGAAAUUUAACCUCAAGACAUACAAAAAUGGAUUCAUCAAACACCUCAUUUGAGAAAAACGAGCAAUCAAGACGACACACUAUUCACGGGAGCUUAGCUCUUAAUUCCAAAAAUGAAUCCAUGAUUAAACAGUUGAAUUUACUAGGAGGGACAUUACUAAAAGGAAGAGUUUUUGGAAAACAGUCUGGGGUAAUGUUUGGAAGAUUUCGGCCAAUAAAUGAAGAAACACAAGUGCAAAAAGAUGAACGAUCCCUUGUAGAAGAACACUUAGAACGUCUAAGGAGAGAGUCAUCAAAAGGGAGAGAGGCAUUAGCAGUAGCUAAAACUGAAGAACAAGAAGAAUUAGUGACACUUUCAAAAGGAUGGAUUAACUUUUAUUUGUUAAGAGAUAGCCAAGAUUUGGGAUCAGAUGGCAGCAUUGAUGAAGGUUCCCAAGACUUGGCCAAUGAGGAUAAGUCUCGGCGAGCCCCUCCAUCGAUGAAGACUGUGACCGUAGUCAGUAAACCCGAGGAGGAGUUACGACACCAGUACACAGUACAGAUUAAUGCUUCUCCUGAGACUGGCAAACUACCAGACCUCAGCAGCCAGCAUCAUAAAAACUUCAAAACUCCAUCCGUCAGUCCGGAGCUUAUUCUACCGGAUAUCACACCUACUUCUUCACCCCCGACAAGCCCACUGUUACCUGAGAUCCCAAUAUCCAUAAAAUCCGAACUUCCUCAGAUACACUCUAAAAGGCAAGACAAGACAAAAAGAAGUACCAAUGACAAAUUCAAAUCUAAUAAUAAAAAACCUGCAGAGAAGCCUGACAAAAAAGAAAAGAUUCAAACCGGUGAAACAGACCUUCGUUAUUUGAAACUAUCUUCGAUGAAACAGGAACUCCAGACUGAAAAGACAUAUUAUGCAAGGUCAGGGGAAGUAGCCUGCUCUGAACUAUCUCCAUCAAGUAAGUCGUCAUCAUCGUCAGUAACAGCUGACAGCCCAACAUUACCCAGUAUUAAGUGGCCAUCACGUCAGCUGCAGAGACGCUCACACACUCGCCAUUCACGCUCCCAGUCCUCUCAUCCUAACACUCAAGCAUGUUGGACUGUAACAUUGGCGGGCAGCAGUGGACACCCAAGCCAGCCCCCACCUGACGUGGAGAUGAGGCUGAGUUUCUCUAACACAACCAGGGGCCAGGCUACAAGCCAAUCUGACUCUGGACUCGGGGAGGAUGGGCCCAGUGACCGGGGCAAGAAACAGCAAGCUCUACCACCCCCACUGGCUCAGAGCAAUCAGUGGAAAGUUAUGCUGAAGACACAACAAGAAACAGACAGAUCGAGCGACCCACCAAAAGGAGACAAAAGAACAUGUCUGCCAGAUUUCAGCUACACUCCAAGCACAGCUCGAUCCAAAAAAAGUACAAAGAGAGGAGGUCAAGAGGACUCGAGCCGACCACUUUCUGUCAAGGUCCAGGAGAUUCUAGAGCACAACAUUAGUCUGCAUAAAAGUAGUUUCGGAUUGAUUGAAGAUGGCUCUCCAUAGCGAGGAGCAUGAAAUAUUUCAAGAAUAUAUUAUUGUGUAAUCAAUGUUUGGAUUCCUUGAGAACUGGAAGACUUUGAUGUUAGUUAUAACAUUGGCUGGUGUGACAGAAGGAGAGUGGGUGGAGGGGCUGAGUGUAACAGGACUUGCCAUCACGCCAGAGCGCAAGCCUAGAGUGCCUACCAUGAGUGAGCGAGAUCUGACACGUCAGUGGUUCCACCGUUCC